This 245-nucleotide ribosomal RNA is filed under the name uncultured Oscillospiraceae bacterium. Its description in RNAcentral is "partial 16S ribosomal RNA". It matches the Rfam family "Bacterial small subunit ribosomal RNA", at positions 524 to 769 of the family's 1533-position model. Lineage: Bacteria; Bacillati; Bacillota; Clostridia; Eubacteriales; Oscillospiraceae. The record is from RNAcentral.
UACGUAGGUGGCGAGCGUUGUCCGGAAUUACUGGGUGUAAAGGGAGCGUAGGCGGGUAAACAAGUUGAAUGUCAAAACUAUCGGCUCAACCGAUAGUCGCGUUCAAAACUGUAUAUCUUGAGUGAAGUAGAGGCAAGCGGAAUUCCUAGUGUAGCGGUGAAAUGCGUAGAUAUUAGGAGGAACACCAGUGGCGAAGGCGGCUUGCUGGGCUUUAACUGACGCUGAAGUUCGAAAGUGUGGGGAGC